AUUGAACGCUGGCGGCAGGCCUAACACAUGCAAGUCGAGCGGAUGACGGGGGCUUGCUCCUGCAAUCAGCGGUGGACGGGUGAGUAAUGCUUAGGAAUCUGCCUGGUAGUGUGGGAUAACGUACGACAACGGGCGCUAAUACCUCAUACGUCCUGAGGGCGAAAGUGGGGGUUCUUCGGACAUCACGCUAUCAGAUUACAUUUGGUCGGAUUAUCUAGUUGGUGGGGUAAAGGCCAACCAAGGCGACGAUGCGUAACUGGUCUGAAAGGAUGAUCCGCAAAAUGGGAACUGAAAAACGGUCCGGACUCCUACGGAAGGCAGAAGUGGGAAAUAUUGGAAAAUGGGCAAAGGCCUGAGCAAGAACUGCCGCGUGGUGGAAGAAGGUCUUCGGAUUGUAAACCAUUUUAAGUGGGGAGGAAGGGCAGUAAGUGAAUACCUAGCUGUAUUGACGGUACCAAAAGAAUAAGCAACGGCUAACUUCGUG
RNAcentral lists this ribosomal RNA (484 nucleotides) under uncultured bacterium. Its description in RNAcentral is "partial 16S ribosomal RNA". It matches the Rfam family "Bacterial small subunit ribosomal RNA", at positions 30 to 507 of the family's 1533-position model. The record is from RNAcentral.